GGGUUUCUGGUGAAAUAUCACAGUGCCUUGUCAAGGCACAAUUGUAGGUUAAACCCCUACGAAACCUU
This 68-nucleotide transfer RNA is filed under the name Squalogadus modificatus (tadpole whiptail). RNAcentral describes it as "tRNA-Asp". It matches the Rfam family "tRNA". From Rfam's summary of the family: Transfer RNA (tRNA) molecules are approximately 80 nucleotides in length. Their secondary structure includes four short double-helical elements and three loops (D, anti-codon, and T loops). Lineage: Eukaryota; Metazoa; Chordata; Actinopteri; Gadiformes; Macrouridae. The record is from RNAcentral.